RNAcentral lists this ribosomal RNA (253 nucleotides) under uncultured bacterium. RNAcentral describes it as "partial 16S ribosomal RNA". It matches the Rfam family "Bacterial small subunit ribosomal RNA", at positions 524 to 776 of the family's 1533-position model. The record is from RNAcentral.
UACAGAGGGGGCAAGCGUUGUUCGGAAUUACUGGGCGUAAAGGGCUCGUAGGUGGCCAACUAAGUCACACGUGAAAUCCCCAGGCUUAACCUGGGAACUGCGUGUGAUACUGGAUGGCUUGAAUUCGGGAGAGGGAUGCAGAAUUCCAGGUGUAGCGGUGAAAUGCGUAGAUAUCGGAAGGAACACCGGUGGCGAAAGCGGCGCGCUGGACCUCUUCUGACGCUGAGGCGCGAAAGCCAGGGGAGCGAACGGG